This 459-nucleotide ribosomal RNA is filed under the name uncultured bacterium. RNAcentral describes it as "partial 16S ribosomal RNA". It matches the Rfam family "Bacterial small subunit ribosomal RNA", at positions 338 to 795 of the family's 1533-position model. The record is from RNAcentral.
CCUACGGGCGGCAGCAGUGAGGAAUAUUGGUCAAUGGGCGCGAGCCUGAACCAGCCAAGUCGCGUGAGGGAAGACGGUCCUAUGGAUUGUAAACCUCUUUUGUCGGGGAGCAAAAGACGCUACGCGUGGCGUUCCGAGAGUACCCGAAGAAAAAGCAUCGGCAAACUCCGUGCCAGCAGCCGCGGUAAUACGGAGGAUUCGAGCGUUAUCCGGAUUUAUUGGGGUAAAGGGGUGCGCAGGCGGAAGCCAAAGUCAGCGGUAAAAUUGGGGGGCCCAACCUCUUCGAGCCGUUGAAACUGGGUUUCUUGAGUGAGCGAGAAGUAUGCGGAAUGCGUGGUGUAGCGGUGAAAUGCAUAGAUAUCACGCAGAACUCCGAUUGCGAAGGCAGCAUACCGGCGCUCAACUGACGCUCAUGCACGAAAGUGUGGGUAUCGAACAGGAUUAGAUACCCGAGUAGUC